GAUGAACGCUGGCGGCGUGCUUAACACAUGCAAGUCGAACGAUGAAGCCCAGCCUGCUGGGCGGAUUAGUGGCGAACGGGUGAGUAACACGUGAGUAACCUGCCCUUGACUCUGGGAUAAGCCCGGGAAACUGGGUCUAAUACCGGAUAGGAGCGCCUGUCGCAUGACGGGUGCUGGAAAGAUUUUUCGGUCAUGGAUGGACUCGCGGCCUAUCAGCUUGUUGGUGAGGUAACGGCUCACCAAGGCGACGACGGGUAGCCGGCCUGAGAGGGUGACCGGCCACACUGGGACUGAGACACGGCCCAGACUCCUACGGGAGGCAGCAGUGGGGAAUAUUGCACAAUGGGCGGAAGCCUGAUGCAGCGACGCCGCGUGAGGGAUGACGGCCUUCGGGUUGUAAACCUCUUUCAGUAGGGAAGAAAGCGAAAGUGACGGUACCUGCAGAAGAGC
Molecule: ribosomal RNA, 450 nt
Filed under: Micrococcus luteus
Lineage: Bacteria; Bacillati; Actinomycetota; Actinomycetes; Micrococcales; Micrococcaceae
Description: bacterial SSU rRNA
Rfam family: Bacterial small subunit ribosomal RNA
Source: RNAcentral